This is a long non-coding RNA of Oncorhynchus keta (chum salmon), 880 nucleotides long. RefSeq lists it as uncharacterized. NCBI's taxonomy places the organism in Eukaryota, Metazoa, Chordata, Actinopteri, Salmoniformes, Salmonidae. The transcript has 3 exons. The record is from RefSeq and is a predicted model, not a curated record.
GAAACAGAGAUGAGUUUGUGUUCGGGUUUCCCUGCAUGUUUCCCUGCAUGCAUCAACCAAUGGUUGAGUUCCACGUCAUCGACUGUAUCGUCGACUGACAGAGCGGAAUAACAUACGAUGUGGUAAUACAUAAAAUCCCUAUCCAGGCAUUGUAUCAACAACUGGGUAUAGGAGCACACUCUGUAUAUGUGAGAGAGAGAAAGAGAGAGAGAGAGAGAGACAGGGAGAGAGCGACAGGGAGAGAGAGACAGGGAGAGAGAGACAGGGAGAGAGAGAGAGAAAAAAAAUUGAGGGAAGAGAGGUUGUGUGUGUGUCUCAGUGUGUGUGGAGGGGGGUAGUGCUAGUGAGAGAGGCUGUAGUAAUGUGCUGGAGUGAAUGUGAACUCAGCAAACCACCAUGGAACCUUCUAGACUGCUAUACACAACUUCUACCAUAUCCUUUGCCGUGGCGAACACGUGGAGCUCCUCCCCCGUUCUUUGUUUUAAUGUCAACAUCCCACUCCUCCACUUAAGGUUAAGUGUAGUAGCGGUGGCUGGCUGUGUGUGUGAAUGUCUGUUCCCAUGGCGCAGCGGGAGACAGGCGGCACCAGCCCGGUGGUCCGGCAGAUAGACAAACAGUUCCUGGUCUGCAGCAUCUGUCUAGACCACUACCACAACCCUAAAGUCCUGCCCUGCCUGCACACCUUCUGUGAGAAGUAAGUCUCUACCAUACACUAUACACCCAACCUCUACCACAACCCUAAAGUCCUGCCCUGCCUGCAUACCUUCUGUGAGAAGUAAGUCUCUACCAUACACUAUACACCCAACCACUACCACAACCCUAAAGUCCUGCCCUGCCUGCAUACCUUCUGUGAGAAGUAAGUCUCUACCAUACACUAUAC